Molecule: ribosomal RNA, 567 nt
Filed under: Triticum aestivum (bread wheat)
Lineage: Eukaryota; Viridiplantae; Streptophyta; Magnoliopsida; Poales; Poaceae
Description: partial small subunit ribosomal RNA
Source: RNAcentral
AUGGUGGAAGGCUCGGCGACCGACAUUAUGAACUUGAAGUUCCUCCUGCUGUGCUUCCAGAGGAUCAACUUCAAUAAAAGUGCGGUUAUGGUCAUGGGAUACUCCCAAGACGAGCGACAGAGCAUCGCGGAUAGACUUAAUUGCCAGCUUGGGUGCUUCCCCACGUCUUAUCUGGGGAUCCCCAUUAGUGAUACAAGACUCACGGUGGCGGAGCUUCGCCCCGCGGUUGGGAAGCUUCAACACCGCAUCGAGCCUUGGCAAGGCCGUUGGCUCUCGAAGGCAGCCCGGACAGUGCUUAUUAACUCGUCCCUGGCCAUCCCACUCCUGUUCAUCAUGAGCUUCUACAGCCUUUCGGAGACUCUACAUCAUGAGAUUGCCACCGUACAGGGACGCUUCUUCUGGGCCGGCGAGGGAGACAAGCAAAAAUACCACAUGGUUCGCUGGUCGGAGAUCUGUAAACCGCGCGACCAGGGUGGGCUCGGGAUCAUGUCCUCCAAACGCAUGAACAUUGCCCUACUUACGCGCUGGUUGUGGCGGAUCUCCAACGGCGAUGGUGGCCUGUGGGUA